CGCCACCCCUCGUCUUCUGAAGCCAUACCUAGUUUUCUCCUUCAAAAAAACUUACGAAGAAAUAUGCAAAGGAAAGCAGUCUUCGAGACACUUGUCACAGGUCUAGGAAGAAUAUCCCUGGUUAUUGUGAUGGUGUGGCUCAUUCCUACCAGAGCCAAUCCCAUUUGCGAUUACAAGGGCUUAACUAAAUUGGCACAAUGUCAUUUAAAGAUUUGCCUGGAAGACUAUAAGGAAGCUAAUGGGAAUGAUAUUGAUGGUUGGAACGACUUCCCUGCGCUUCGUGUCCCUGAUGAAAAACCUGAGAAUACAAAAGAGAAUGCUACUUGUGGCAUUCAUUUCAUCGCUACUGCUCUGGAUGUCAUCAUGAAGGACCAGAUUGAUGACUUGAACCCUAAUAAUAAAACCCUACAUGAAGCUUUCAAAAAAGCCAUCGGAUUCAUGCAUAAUCUCGAAAAGUGCAUGAACAAAGUCUUGAGACAUCAUUGUCAACAUCAUACAGAGCCGAAGUUACCAAAGUACGUUUAUGAUAAAAAGCAGUGGAGUGUUGGAGUCCUAAAAUCGUCUGAGAAAUUCCUCAAAUGGAUUUUAAAAGAUCAUCCGUACUUUCAAACAAAGAAACUUCAGGAAGUCAAUAUGAUGUGAAUAGCUGCUGGAGAUUUAAAUGGUUUACAUGCAAACGCACAGGUAUAAUUUAAACUGCUACGUAUUGAUACUUUUAAAAGAAAACAAUUCACCUAUAUUCCCUCUCUUUAUCCAGAGCAGAGAUGAACAGAAAUAAAUUAUUGUAUUUAAGAGAUUAUUUAUUGAAAUGUAUUUACAGUGCUACCUUGUUUUGCGAGCAUAAUCCAUUCCGGAAAGCACUCGUAUAUCAUAGUGAACUUUCCCAUUAGAAAUUAUGGAAACUCAGAUGAUUCGUUCCGCAACCCAAACAUAUUCAUAUAAAAAUGAUUAAUACAAAAUAUAAAGUAAAAAUAUAUAAAACAAAUUAACCUGCACUUUACCUUUGAAAAUAAUCAUGGAUUGUGUGAGGGAGACGACAUAGAGGAGAAGAGGAGGGUUAUUUUGUAGGACGACUUUCACUAUAACUAACGGAAUCACUAUCUGUUGGCUCACUGGAAUAUUUUUCUUUUUGUGCGAUUUUAACAAGGAACCUAUCCAAUGACAGCUGCUUUUGCCUCCUUUUCGAUUUUGCGGAAAUGUGGACAUUGCAUUGUUGUUAAACAGAUUCAUCGCUGGCACUGCUGCACCCUUAUAGGGGUGGUGCUUUUCUACUAAAUUUUGAGUUUAUACGAGUGAGGCACACAGACCGAAACAGAGCAUAGGAGAUGAUUACCCACAACCCUCGGAACCAUUGGCUCAGUUGUGAUAACAUGAAGCUUGGCAGACAAAGCGUAUACGUAUGCGUAUACGCAAGACCUCACUCAUUUAAAAUUUAUUUAAAAUUUUUGCUUGUCUUACAAAACAUGGUUUUACUCUAUUUCCUUCAUUGUGGGUGGCCCUGUUGCUUCACACUGCUGGGGUUUCAACUGCCAAUAUAUGACUGUGUUUUUGCUGGGUUGGCUGCGUUUCCUCCUGCAGUUCAGAGACGAGAUGCAUGGAUCGAUGCUAUAUCUUCUUGAUGUCAGUCCUUGGUUUGCCUGUGCCAUUUCUCGUACUAGUCUUCCUAUUUUGUUCCCUUGCCACCGUACUUGUUCUCCUGCUCCUGUUUUGAUUAGUAAAGCCCCUUUUGUUUUCCUGAAGCCUGCCCUUGAGUGCCUCAGUUGUUUUUAAAUGUAUUAUUUAUACGCAAUGUAUUUCAUAUCGACAAUGUAUUUAUUAUUUAUUUGAUUAAA
Molecule: long non-coding RNA, 1832 nt
Organism: Brienomyrus brachyistius
Lineage: Eukaryota; Metazoa; Chordata; Actinopteri; Osteoglossiformes; Mormyridae
Exons: 3
Source: RefSeq, a predicted model, not a curated record